AAUCCAUGUAUCGGACAUUACGGAAGUAAUUUUUUAAAUUGUUCCCAAGCUUCAUAUAUCAAUCCAUCCUCUGAUUGCCUAAAAGAUGUGAUGUCAUUUCUAACAUU
RNAcentral lists this small nucleolar RNA (107 nucleotides) under Gossypium hirsutum (cotton). RNAcentral describes it as "Plant small nucleolar RNA R71". It matches the Rfam family "Plant small nucleolar RNA R71". From Rfam's summary of the family: R71 is a member of the C/D box family of snoRNAs containing the C (UGAUGA) and D (CUGA) box motifs. Multiple nearly identical copies of this snoRNA have been identified in Arabidopsis, and it is thought to function as a 2'-O-ribose methylation guide for 18S ribosomal RNA. The record is from Rfam by way of RNAcentral. Lineage: Eukaryota; Viridiplantae; Streptophyta; Magnoliopsida; Malvales; Malvaceae.